This 460-nucleotide ribosomal RNA is filed under the name uncultured bacterium. RNAcentral's name for it is "partial 16S ribosomal RNA". It matches the Rfam family "Bacterial small subunit ribosomal RNA", at positions 338 to 795 of the family's 1533-position model. The record is from RNAcentral.
CCUACGGUGGGCAGCAGUGAGGAAUAUUGGUCAAUGGACGAGAGUCUGAACCAGCCAAGUAGCGUGAAGGAUGACUGCCCUAUGGGUUGUAAACUUCUUUUAUAUGGGAAUAAAAUGUUCCACGUGUGGGAUUUUGUAUGUACCAUAUGAAUAAGGAUCGGCUAACUCCGUGCCAGCAGCCGCGGUAAUACGGAGGAUCCGCGCGUUAUCCGGAUUUAUUGGGUUUAAUGGGAGCGUAGGUGGAUUGUUAAGUCAGUUGUGAAAGUUUGCGGCUCAACCGUAAAAUUGCAGUUGAAACUGGCAGUCUUGAGUACAGUAGAGGUGGGCGGAAGUCGUGGUGUAGCGGUGAAAUGCAUAGAUAUCACGAGGAACCCCGAUUGCGAAGGCAGCCUGCCGGGGUGCGACUGACGCUGAGGCUCGAAGGUGCGGGUAUCAAACAGGAUUAGAUACCCGAGUAGUC